Molecule: non-coding RNA, 30 nt
Filed under: Rattus norvegicus (Norway rat)
Lineage: Eukaryota; Metazoa; Chordata; Mammalia; Rodentia; Muridae
Source: RNAcentral
UGAGAAAAUAGAUUUGAAUAAAUUCCCACA